UUCAAAUCAAGUUGAGCGGGUCUGCAUCGUUAUUUUGACGAAGUUUGAAACCAGUGGUAAUUUUUUGACACUUCAUCUAGAUUUAAGAAGAUUCUUGCCUGAACAACUGUUCGAACUCCCGAGUUGACAUGCUCUAAAGGUAUAGUGAAUUCAGUAUGCAGAUUAUUGAAGGGAAAACAUCAAGACGGGGCAAGGAAGACAACAAAACAUGAUUACCCAGAUUGAGGAUCUCAGUGUUCUUUGUCUCAAGCUACUCAGCCUACCAUGAGAAAAUUAAAAGAUCUGUCAUGAAGAAGAGGCUGGUUCUCAACUUUCAUAUUAUAAAUGGCAAGUAUUGUUUAGAACUAAAUUUAGAUUAUUCUUGAUAAAAAAUAACAUAAGGGUUUUUGUCAAUUCAUAGCUAUUAUUUGUGAUUGCACUGUGUAUUAAUUUUCAAAAUCAAUUCAUUCUCUGGUGACCAAGUGCAGCAGUUUGCUUCAAACUCAUAAUUUUUUUUUAAAAAUAUUGACUAUAUUUGUCCAUAUGUACAAAAUGUUAAUCACGGUAUGAAU
Long non-coding RNA from Saccostrea cuccullata (small rock oyster), 551 nucleotides. RefSeq lists it as uncharacterized. The transcript has 3 exons. The record is from RefSeq and is a predicted model, not a curated record. NCBI's taxonomy places the organism in Eukaryota, Metazoa, Mollusca, Bivalvia, Ostreida, Ostreidae.